Molecule: non-coding RNA, 185 nt
Organism: Beta vulgaris subsp. vulgaris (sugar beet)
Lineage: Eukaryota; Viridiplantae; Streptophyta; Magnoliopsida; Caryophyllales; Amaranthaceae
Source: Rfam
GACAAAGCGAAUAAGGGGACAUAGAGGAUGUCUUGGCAUCUCGUGCCGACGAAGGACGCGGUAUACUGCGAAAAGCGAUAACGAGGCGUAUACAGCCGCAAGAGUUAUCGGUAUCCGAAUGGGGAAACCCGGUGCGGCGAACCCGCAUCAUGCGCAAGCAAGGGAACCGCGUGAACUGAAACAUC